AACCGUUAGAGCGGUUAAAAAAAGGUGUUAGGCUCUAAGCGUGGAGGAUUCGUCCUCCAGUCACA
This 65-nucleotide ribozyme is filed under the name unclassified sequences. RNAcentral describes it as "pistol ribozyme". It matches the Rfam family "Pistol ribozyme". The record is from RNAcentral.